RNAcentral lists this unclassified non-coding RNA (4091 nucleotides) under Hevea brasiliensis (rubber tree). The record is from RNAcentral. Lineage: Eukaryota; Viridiplantae; Streptophyta; Magnoliopsida; Malpighiales; Euphorbiaceae.
CUCUUCUUCUUCCUCUUCUUCCUCAUCUUCACCAUUUUCUUCAUCCCACCGAUACUCCUCAUCCCCUUCAGAGCUGCUUGACAGCUUCCUCUGUUUACGUCUCUUCAAGUAUUCCUCAUCAUAUACGGCUUCUCCAACUAUGUCAUCAUCACUGUCAAAGUCUGCAUCAUUAUCUGAGACUGCUUCAACAAACUCUUUUGCUGAAUACCGUUGAGGCCUCUGCCUUCGCCUAUUGCUUCGGUCCAAUAAUUCAGGUUUAUCCCCUUCAUCAAUGUCAUCAUAACCGGGUGAAUUGGGGGUUGUCAAACAGAAACUGCCUUGUUCAGAGGAAUGUGAAGGACCGGUCCAUUUACCAUUUGUUGAAGCUUCAGGUUUGAUAAUAACUUCUCUUCUGUAAAUAGGCUCUGGGGAUGGUGGUUUUCGCUUGGUUAUUUUAAUAGCCUCAUUGAUUGACCGGUCAUAAUCAUCAAAAGUAUAAGUAACAGGUUUUCUGUCACGAAGCGAGCGUCCUGGUGAGAGUCCAUCCACACUCAAAAAGUUAUCAAGAAGUAGAGCCUGUCUAUGUUGCUUUUUCAGCAACCUUUCUUUCCUCUUAUGAACCUUCUCAAUCUCAGGAAGCAUGUCGUUCUUUAGCUUCUUCCCUAAUGAGGCCUCUGUUCUAUUUUUACUUGCAAAAAGCUUCUCCUGCACCAACAGAUAGACAAAGCCAAAUAAGAAAAUACACUAAAUAAACAGCAAUAGUUGAAGAAUAUUGAAAAAUCAUGCCAGCAGCAACAAAUUUGAAAUUUUUCUAAACCUCAUUACACCAAAUGGCCGUACAAGAACCUGUUUCUUUAUCAAAACCAGGCAGGGGAAAAUGUCCUUAAAACACUUAUGUAAAGAAGGUAUAAUAAUGCAUAACUAAUCAGCAAAAUGGUACAAAAUUUGUCAACCAUUACGAUGUUGCUUCCAUCAACACAGCUCCCAAAAUUAUUUAAGUGAUACUCACAAGCAGAAUGACAGAAUCAAUUGCCAGUGAAAUACUUUCUUUCUUUUUUGUAAUCAACUGUAUAAAUUAUAGAAGAAAAUGCAAAAGAAAACCAUCAUUCAUGUACAAACAGAAAUGGACACAUAUCCUAUGAAAAAAGGGUAAUGAAACCACAAGAAAGUUGAUGUCCAACAACUUAACUACCAAAAGUUGUAUCAUACAACAACUAAAACAGUUAAAAACUUUUUAUUCAUUAAAAUUUUUUUAAAAUGAUCUAUAAUUCGUGUGCAUAUGGUACAUAUGUCUAUAUGUAUAAAAGAACUGACGGCAAGAGCAACCAUAUAGAGCAUGGAAGAAAAGGGUAGCAUCCUCAGAAAACCAAAAACUUAUUCAGUAGUCAGUACAAAUAAAAAUGACAACAAAGAAACCAGAAAAAGGAAAAUCUGUUCUAAAUAAAGCAAUUCCACCAGAAAAGAGAAACCCAGACAAUUCUAGAUCCUAGAAGUUCAAAGGUCACAGAGGAUAAUAAUGAUAUCUCAACUAGGCACUCAUUCAUAAAAUUAUUCCAGACAUCCUAAUAUGAGUCUACAAAUUCAGCAUGCAGCUACAAAUCCUAACAAUUAACUUGCAGCAUUCUGUUCUACAUAUUAUGGAUGUCUAUCACUUAAUAGUUAAUAUAUAUAUCGUGUGUUGCAUUUAUGUAAAAACCUUUUCAAUCUCAUAUUACUUCCUCAUGAAACUUUGAUAGGCAAAUUGCACUCCUUGUUUAUUUAUCCAAGGUUAAAGGAACAUACUAGGAGAACACCACUCAACAUACUGGCCCACAGAACAUUCAAGGUAGCUUCCUUAUCUAAGAUUCAUCUUCCACAUAUAAACUAAUUCUUCCAGGGAUUAAAAAAAAACGCUUGGCAUAUUUUUCUUAAGCUGCCCAGACUUGUUAAAACCCAAUACAACCUAAUCUCAAAUGUUAAGAAUUCCUCUUUCUUUGUAAUUGUAAUCCCUUCUCCACUAAGUCACUACCUAACAUUCUUAACAUCCAAAAUUUCAUUUGUCCCCUUUCAUCAGAAGUUUUGGUUUAUAGUUUUAAAGGUGCAGCAGAUGAAAGGGGCAAUUUACAUGGAUGGAUGGCAAUGUAACUAUGAAGAUUAAUGCAUAAUCACAAUUUUACUUCAUGCAUAUAGGCACAUCAAAACAUUUGCAAAUUACCAUAUAAAAACAACACAACAACAUACUCUCUUCUAAAUGAAAUGAUAGAUAUCUAAGAGCAUGCUUCAAGUCAUCAUGCAUACUAUUCAUUCUACAAUAUAAAAUAACAAAAAUAUGAAAGGGGAUCUUUUAUGGCGUAAAGAAAAUGCUUACUUCAAAACCCGUAGCCAGUAAUGAUUAUCAGAAUAUAUAUAAAAAUAUAGUAAAAAUAGAAAAUGCAUGGAAAUUUAAACAAGGCAGGUGUACAAAGACGGGCCAUUUAAGUAACAUACAGAGACAUCUUGAAAUUCAUCAAAAUUAGUUGCAACUGUUUCCCACUGGUAUGUGGCAUUGGGAAGGACCUGAGAACCUUUUGCCUUUCCCUUCUUCACCUCAACUUUUCUUAUUUCCCGGUAUAACCGAUGACCAAUUAUUGGAUCAUCUUCAUACCAGUAAUUAAUUCCUUGCGAAUCACCCCCGACGCGUUCUUUACGAAAUACAGAAAGUUGAAUACCAUGUUUAAUGGAGUUGUCUAUAUAAUUCCGAAUAUCUUCUUGCUGCAAAUAUCGCUCAGAUUCAAUUCCUUUACUAAUAUACCAAUAAAAAGAGGUAUAACAAAGUUAAUGAAUUUUCCAUAUACACUUAGAAUUAGAUACUGUAUAUAGGCUAUUUGUCGAAAUUAUGAAUUGACAAGAUAUUCAGAAUAUGGAUGUGAGCUAAAUAAAAAACGUACAGGGGAAACAUUCCUACAAACUAGAGCAAAGAUUUAAUCUUAAUUGAAAUUGUAGAAAUGCCCUAAGAUGUGAAGGAAUGCAAAGGUAUUACAAGUCUACAACUAGAAGAAUUCAAAGUAGUUGAACUAGGAGUAAAAUUAGGAAAUAAUUGCUAGAAGAAGCCAAAAAUGAAUGCUGGAUUGUCAUAAUAAUUAAGGAAGAAAAAGUUGAAGAAGAUGUUGCACAAACAAUAAACAGUCAGCUGCUUCUACAAUGCGCAUGUAAGCAUAAACAUAUGAAUACAUUCAAGAACUGAUCUAUAGGAUAUCUCAUAAAGUGAAAACUUGUGCCAAGACAACAAGGCCAGAUGUGUCCAAAAAAAAAUAAGAGAAAUUAUUUAUGAGAACAUUGAAUGGAACAGUUCUUUACCAACAUGAGUUGCACAACAGAGUGACGCGAAGAAAUUACAAAUAAAUACACCAGUCAGGACACAUUUAACUUAAAUUGAAGGGACAAGAAAACAACACAAGUCAAUGCACUUAGGAUUUGAGCUUUGUAAAAACCAUAAGAUCAACAACUAAAGGAAAACAUCUUAGAUGCAAUCAAAUCUUACAAGGAGAUUCAUUUAUCAGCACAAGUAAUUUGGAACCGAGCCCCAAUUAAGUUAACUUCUCCUUCUAAAAAUAUCCAACUCCAUUAUGAAUAGUGCAAUAUUUGGUCCAUGAAUCAGUAUAUAUUAUAAUAUUAUAAUGCUCAUUUAAGCUUUAAUAAGAUUCAGUAGAAAGUUGAGUGUAGAAAGAAAUUUAAAAAAUAACAUUGUAGGCAGCAAGCAAACAUCCAAUAAUACCUCAACACGAAUGUCACAUAGCGCUUUCAAGAUCACCACACGGACCCCAGGAUCAAGAGUUUUAUACACUUCAAUCUCAACCCCAUGUGACGCAACUAUGGGAAGUUCCCCAUCUGCAACCCAGUGCCACCAGUCUCUUAAUUUUCUGCACAAAACAGUGAUCCAAGUAUCUCGUGUAAGGGCAAUCCGGGUAAUAGGAGGGAUUGCCUUUAGCAAGGGCAUGUGAAUAUCUCCCAAAGUGUCAUUUGGUGUAAUCAAAGCUGUCUCGAACUCCUCGGCUGAAAACUCAACCUGUAUAUUCAAUAAAGGCCUAAAUACAUGCAAGAAAUUAAGUACGGAAGCUAAUUCCCACAUGGAGCGGAGGCUCCACCUCGGCAAC